RNAcentral lists this ribosomal RNA (598 nucleotides) under Klebsiella oxytoca. RNAcentral describes it as "bacterial SSU rRNA". It matches the Rfam family "Bacterial small subunit ribosomal RNA", at positions 553 to 1146 of the family's 1533-position model. Lineage: Bacteria; Pseudomonadati; Pseudomonadota; Gammaproteobacteria; Enterobacterales; Enterobacteriaceae. The record is from RNAcentral.
ACUGGGCGUAAAGCGCACGCAGGCGGUCUGUCAAGUCGGAUGUGAAAUCCCCGGGCUCAACCUGGGAACUGCAUUCGAAACUGGCAGGCUGGAGUCUUGUAGAGGGGGGUAGAAUUCCAGGUGUAGCGGUGAAAUGCGUAGAGAUCUGGAGGAAUACCGGUGGCGAAGGCGGCCCCCUGGACAAAGACUGACGCUCAGGUGCGAAAGCGUGGGGAGCAAACAGGAUUAGAUACCCUGGUAGUCCACGCUGUAAACGAUGUCGACUUGGAGGUUGUUCCCUUGAGGAGUGGCUUCCGGAGCUAACGCGUUAAGUCGACCGCCUGGGGAGUACGGCCGCAAGGUUAAAACUCAAAUGAAUUGACGGGGGCCCGCACAAGCGGUGGAGCAUGUGGUUUAAUUCGAUGCAACGCGAAGAACCUUACCUACUCUUGACAUCCAGAGAACUUAGCAGAGAUGCUUUGGUGCCUUCGGGAACUCUGAGACAGGUGCUGCAUGGCUGUCGUCAGCUCGUGUUGUGAAAUGUUGGGUUAAGUCCCGCAACGAGCGCAAACCCUUAUCCUUUGUUUGCCAGCGAAUUCGGGUCGGGGAACUCAAAGGA